Long non-coding RNA from Sapajus apella (tufted capuchin), 858 nucleotides. RefSeq lists it as uncharacterized. The record is from RefSeq and is a predicted model, not a curated record. The transcript has 2 exons. NCBI's taxonomy places the organism in Eukaryota, Metazoa, Chordata, Mammalia, Primates, Cebidae.
AUUAUUUUUUUAAAUGAAGAUUUCUAACAUUGACAUUGCAGUCUGAUGAGUUGUAUUUUUUAGGAAUUAAAGUUUUCUAAUGUAAUGUAUUCUGAAAAGUUAUAUUAUUUUUUAAGAAACAAAUUAAGGUUUUACAGCAGUUAAAUGCAUUCUGAAGCUCUAAAUAAGUGUCCUGAGCUUUGUCUAUGAGUUGGUUCUAAAAGUAGAAAAACUGCCUCAAACUAUGAUCAUGUCAUUGUUAUUUAUAUUGUAGCAAUAAUUAGUGCAUUCGGAUGCUUAGAGGAGAUGUCAGCCUGUGACUAAAGGUCCCAUUCAGUGUUGCUGCUUGAAGAAAUGCCGCACACUUGAACCCCAAACCCCGUAUGUCAUGUAUUUCUAGCUUCCCAUACAUUUGCGGGUUUGCAGAGCCUUUCCCUUCUAGGGUCCUAGGCUGGGUUUGUGUGUAGAAUGUCUGAAUUUUUGAGUUGUGAUCAGUUGAUUCAUACAAAAGAAUAAUGGCAAUAUUAGUCAUGAAUUGUACCAGCAGAGUGGAUGCAUUUGAACCUAUCACCCAAAUUAGGAAAUCAGGGGCCUGUGUCCUUGUGCCUCUUCCCCACUUCAGCAUCUGCCUGACCCCAAGGGAGCCACCUGCCUGAAGUUAGGUUUACCAGACUCUUAUUUUAGAAGCAGUUUAAUCACAUAGAUGUGUUUCCCUGAACUACUUAUUUAGGUUGUUUUAUAGCAAAGGAAUCCUGCUGAUUGUCUUCUGUAACUUGAUUUUUUUCCCCUUGUUAUAUGGCUAAGAUUCACCCUUGUGUGUAGUUUAUUUGUUUUCAUGGCUGUAAUUCCUAGUGUGAAUAUACCAGAAUUUAAAAUCUG